RNAcentral lists this transfer RNA (71 nucleotides) under Psammotermes voeltzkowi. RNAcentral describes it as "tRNA-Val". Lineage: Eukaryota; Metazoa; Arthropoda; Insecta; Blattodea; Rhinotermitidae. The record is from RNAcentral.
CAGGCCAUUUCUAUUUAGUUGGGUUUUCAUUUACGCUGAAUUAUUGUGUCGUGCGAUUCGACAUGGUCUGA